Molecule: ribosomal RNA, 464 nt
Filed under: uncultured bacterium
Lineage: Bacteria
Description: partial 16S ribosomal RNA
Rfam family: Bacterial small subunit ribosomal RNA
Source: RNAcentral
GACGAACGCUGGCGGCGUGCUUAACACAUGCAAGUCGAACGGAAAGGCCCUGCUUGCAGGGUACUCGAGUGGCGAACGGGUGAGUAACACGUGGGUGAUCUGCCCUGCACUUCGGGAUAAGCCUGGGAAACUGGGUUUAAUACCGGAUAGGAGCCAUUUUUAGUGUGAUGGUUGGAAAGUUUUUUCGGUGUAGGAUGAGCUCGCGGCCUAUCAGCUUGUUGGUGGGGUAAUGGCCUACCAAGGCGGCGACGGGUAGCCGGCCUGAGAGGGUGGACGGCCACAUUGGGACUGAGAUACGGCCCAGACUCCUACGGGAGGCAGCAGUGGGGAAUAUUGCACAAUGGGCGCAAGCCUGAUGCAGCGACGCCGCGUGGGGGAUGACGGCCUUCGGGUUGUAAACUCCUUUCGCUAGGGACGAAGCUUUUGUGACGGUACCUAGAUAAGAAGCACCGGCUAACUACGUG